GCUUUGGUGGUUUAGUGGUAAAAUCCAUCGUUGCCAGCCUCCAAAUCACCAUGUUUCACAGCGUGGUUGACGACGACGAGCUCGAUGGGCCCCGUGUUCGAUUCACGGCCAAAGCA
This 116-nucleotide transfer RNA is filed under the name Elsinoe ampelina. RNAcentral's name for it is "tRNA-Gly". Lineage: Eukaryota; Fungi; Ascomycota; Dothideomycetes; Myriangiales; Elsinoaceae. The record is from RNAcentral.